RNAcentral lists this long non-coding RNA (261 nucleotides) under Vigna radiata. RNAcentral describes it as "long non-coding RNA (VRAD_LNC007645)". Lineage: Eukaryota; Viridiplantae; Streptophyta; Magnoliopsida; Fabales; Fabaceae. The record is from RNAcentral.
AAGUAAGGGUGAGCUAGGUAUAAAAAUCAUGUUAUACAAUCACACACAGCAUGCAAAAACCAUAACACAAUACAAACUAAGACCGAAAGCAUUAUUCUGAUACCAAUGACCGACCAUGUGAUUUGACCAUUCAGACUAGUGUGAAAUGUCAAGUUCCAGGGGUUUGUGCACCCGGGUGGUGUAGUAACUGGAAAACCAUCAGCUACCACCCGAGGUUAGUCCGUUAUAACUCACCCAAGAACCUAUGGGCUAGGACUUCCU